UACGUAGGGGGCUAGCGUUGUCCGGAAUCAUUGGGCGUAAAGAGCGUGUAGGCGGCCCGGUAAGUCCGCUGUGAAAGUCGGGGGCUCAACCCUCGGAUGCCGGUGGAUACUGUCGGGCUCGAGUACGGAAGAGGCGAGUGGAAUUCCUGGUGUAGCGGUGAAAUGCGCAGAUAUCAGGAGGAACACCGGUGGCGAAAGGCGGGUUCUCUGGGCAUUAUCUGACGCUGGAGGAGCGAAAGU
This 240-nucleotide ribosomal RNA is filed under the name uncultured bacterium. RNAcentral describes it as "partial 16S ribosomal RNA". It matches the Rfam family "Bacterial small subunit ribosomal RNA", at positions 524 to 760 of the family's 1533-position model. The record is from RNAcentral.